This 22-nucleotide non-coding RNA is filed under the name Arabidopsis thaliana (thale cress). The record is from RNAcentral. Lineage: Eukaryota; Viridiplantae; Streptophyta; Magnoliopsida; Brassicales; Brassicaceae.
AAAUGGUCAUUAAAAUUUAAAG